CUCAAAGUCUGUAUCUUUAGUCCACUAAAUAGCAAGGAAACAAAAAAAACAAAAAACAGUUCUCCUCGCCCAAAAAACAAGCAAACCAAAAAGCCCCACCGCAAAUUCUCCAAUUCAGAAGCACUUCAGAGAUGACAUCCAAUCAACAAAUAAAACCUUGAAGGAAAGCUCUGUCAUGGUGAGAGUGCCACAGACGGGUGUCAAGACCUUUGAUGUUUCUGAAGUUGACAGGUGCCAUUCCAAGGUGUGUGGGAAGAACCUGAACUGGGUUGGCAAACUGCAGAUGACACUUGAGCUAAAAGGUGAUGACUGACAGGAGACAGAUGGGUGCUACAGUCUGUCACAGUUUCAAUCUGCAAGGAAUUUCUAGGGAAACGUUACAGAUCAGAGCAGAUGGCUGCCCCCCUGGCUGUGGUUCUGUCAAAGGUCCCUUCC
Molecule: long non-coding RNA, 435 nt
Organism: Astatotilapia calliptera (eastern happy)
Lineage: Eukaryota; Metazoa; Chordata; Actinopteri; Cichliformes; Cichlidae
Source: Ensembl